CCUACGGGUGGCAGCAGUGGGGCAUAUUGCACAAUGGGCGAAAGCCUGAUGCAGCAACGCCGCGUGAGCGAUGAAGGCCUUCGGGUUGUAAAGCUCUGUCCUCAAGGAAGAUAAUGACGGUACUUGCGGAGGAAGCCCCGGCUACUUACGGGCCAGCAGCCGCGGUAAUACGUCGGGGGCUAGCGUUAUUCGGAAUUACUGGGCGUAAAGGGUGCGUAGGUGGUUUCUUAAGUCAGAGGUGAAAGGCUACGGCUCAACCGUAGUAAGCCUUUGAAACUGGGGAUCUUGAGUGCAGGAGAGGAGAGCGGAAUUCCUGGUGUAGCGGUGAAAUGCGUAGAUAUUAGGAGGAACACCAGUUGCGAAGGCGGCUCUCUGGACUGUAACUGACGCUGAGGCACGAAAGCGUGGGGAGCAAACAGGAUUAGAUACCCCUGUAGUC
RNAcentral lists this ribosomal RNA (439 nucleotides) under uncultured bacterium. Its description in RNAcentral is "partial 16S ribosomal RNA". It matches the Rfam family "Bacterial small subunit ribosomal RNA", at positions 338 to 795 of the family's 1533-position model. The record is from RNAcentral.